CUUAGCAACCGAUUGGUCCUAGUCCUUAUCUUGGUCCCUUCUAAAACGAUACAUGCAAGUUAGUUGCAACACAGUGAGUAAUACCUACUAGUUAUUCUCAAAAGAAAUAACCCUUAAGACAAGGCAUCAGAAAAUCUCCAUAAUUCAACAACGCCUAGCCAACCACAUCUGCAGUACCUAACAUUAUACAAUAAGCAAAAGCUUGAUAUAGUUAUAGAAUUAAGAGUUGGUUAAUUAUGUGCCAGCCACCGCGGUUAUACAUAAGACUCAAACCAAGAAGACCGUCGGUCUAAAGGUGACUAGAGAAAACUUUACUUAGGGUAGAAAAAAACUCCAGUAUUAACAAGCUUCUACAGUAAACUAAUCACAACUAAAAUACCACCCUAAAUCUUUCUUAACUCAAGACACCAAAGCUCAAAAAUAAACUGGGAUUAGAUACCCCACUAUAUGAGCCGUAAAAAAUCAACAACACCCAGAGAA
This 480-nucleotide ribosomal RNA is filed under the name Astropecten articulatus. RNAcentral's name for it is "partial 12S ribosomal RNA". Lineage: Eukaryota; Metazoa; Echinodermata; Asteroidea; Paxillosida; Astropectinidae. The record is from RNAcentral.